Molecule: ribosomal RNA, 292 nt
Filed under: uncultured bacterium
Lineage: Bacteria
Description: partial 16S ribosomal RNA
Rfam family: Bacterial small subunit ribosomal RNA
Source: RNAcentral
GUGCCAGCCGCCGCGGUAAUACGGAGGGUGCAAGCGUUAUCCGGAUUUACUGGGUUUAAAGGGUGUGUAGGCGGGCUUUUAAGUCAGUGGUGAAAUCUCCGGGCUCAACCUGGAAACUGCCAUUGAUACUAUUAGUCUUGAAUUUUGUUGAGGUGGGCAGAAUAUGUCAUGUAGCGGUGAAAUGCAUAGAUAUGACAUAGAAUACCAAUUGCGAAGGCAGCUCGCUAAACAAAUAUUGACGCUGAGGCACGAAAGCGUGGGGAUCAAACAGGAUUAGAUACCCGCGUAGUCC